Molecule: ribosomal RNA, 254 nt
Filed under: uncultured bacterium
Lineage: Bacteria
Description: partial 16S ribosomal RNA
Rfam family: Bacterial small subunit ribosomal RNA
Source: RNAcentral
UACGUAGGGUGCAAGCGUUGUCCGGAAUUAUUGGGCGUAAAGAGCUCGUAGGCGGUGUGUCACGUCGUUCGUGAAAACCUGCAGCUUAACUGUGGGCGUGCGGUCGAUACGGGCAUCACUGGAGUUCGGCAGGGGAGACUGGAAUUCCUGGUGUAGCGGUGAAAUGCGCAGAUAUCAGGAGGAACACCGGUGGCGAAGGCGGGUCGCUGGGCAGAUACUGACGCUGAGGAGCGAAAGCGUGGGGAGCAAACAGG